RNAcentral lists this ribosomal RNA (773 nucleotides) under uncultured bacterium. Its description in RNAcentral is "bacterial SSU rRNA". It matches the Rfam family "Bacterial small subunit ribosomal RNA", at positions 8 to 796 of the family's 1533-position model. The record is from RNAcentral.
AGAGUUUGAUCAUGGCUCAGGACGAACGCUGGCGGCGUGCUUAACACAUGCAAGUCGAACGGAAAGGCCCUUCGGGGUGCUCGAGUGGCGAACGGGUGAGUAACACGUGGGUGAUCUGCCCUGCACUUUGGGAUAAGCCUGGGAAACUGGGUCUAAUACCGAAUACACCCUGCUGGUUGCAUGACCUGGUGGGGGAAAGCUUUUGCGGUGUGGGAUGGGCCCGCGGCCUAUCAGCUUGUUGGUGGGGUGAUGGCCUACCAAGGCGACGACGGGUAGCCGGCCUGAGAGGGUGACCGGCCACACUGGGACUGAGAUACGGCCCAGACUCCUACGGGAGGCAGCAGUGGGGAAUAUUGCACAAUGGGCGCAAGCCUGAUGCAGCGACGCCGCGUGGGGGAUGACGGCCUUCGGGUUGUAAACCUCUUUCAGUAGGGACGAAGCGUGAGUGACGGUACCUACAGAAGAAGGACCGGCCAACUACGUGCCAGCAGCCGCGGUAAUACGUAGGGUCCGAGCGUUGUCCGGAAUUACUGGGCGUAAAGAGCUCGUAGGUGGUUUGUCGCGUUGUUCGUGAAAACCGGGGGCUUAACCCUCGGCGUGCGGGCGAUACGGGCAGACUGGAGUACUGCAGGGGAGACUGGAAUUCCUGGUGUAGCGGUGGAAUGCGCAGAUAUCAGGAGGAACACCGGUGGCGAAGGCGGGUCUCUGGGCAGUAACUGACGCUGAGGAGCGAAAGCGUGGGGAGCGAACAGGAUUAGAUACCCUGGUAGUCC